CAUUCUCCAGAUUUACUCUGCAGUAAAUAAUCUUUCAAUUACUCGCUAUUUGUUUUUAAUUGUUACGCAAUUAGCAGCCGCUGAUUCUAAUGUUCUAAUUAAGCUACAAAACUUGGAAAUUCAAAAUAAAUUUUUUGCCGCUUAAAAAAAUUUUUUUAAUUUUUGAAUUUUUUAACCGGAAAUUGAAUGAAAUCUUUUUGUUUUGAGCUACAGAUUGUAAAAAUAUAUAAAAAUUAUUGUUGGUAAUUAAAAUUUCCGGUGAAAACGAGAAACAAAAUAGUGCACACCCUCAGAGCGCGGGGUGUGCGCAAUUUUUUCGCUGUCUUUUAUGAAGGAUUUAAUGGCAAGUAAUAAUUUAUUAGCUUGUAAUUUAAAGGUCAAUGUACUGAAUAAAGUAAUUCUCAAGAUUAAAUAGCAAAGCGGAUGUCCAGAUGCUUUGAGUCAGCUGUCAUAACCGUCAAUUUAUUUUCGAGCACAACUUUUGCCAAAUUGCUCAGCGCAAAAAGUAAAAUUUAAAAUAAAGCUAAAAAAGUAAAGCUUUCGUCAGCUUGCAGAUAAGUAUAAAAAAAUUUAAACCAGGGGAAAAAGAUAAUACGAAAUUAGAACUCACGCGGCCUUUGUGCUCAUGAGCGUCAUUAGACGGUAUUUUUCAGGGUAGCAUCAGUUUUAAGACAUGAGAGAACGAGACGGACGGUUUUUUGAUCAUCUAAAAUACAAUAUUAUACAAACUGAUGCACACCAGCAAGCAAGUGUCCCUGGGAGGCAUUAUUGCUGCCAAACAUCCAGAAUAGACAGGUCGAAUGCAAUAAAUUGGCUAUCAAAUAGGUGAGAAUGAAAUACUGGUGACAGAGGUUAACACCUUAAUGACAGCUAUAGAGUAUUUAAUCGUGCCAAUAAAUUGGCGCGUGUAGCAAUUAAAAUAAUAUCGGAUCGUACGAUAUCACGGUAUAAUAACACACCAGUGAUAUGUUGAUAAGAUCCAAUUUGUACACGAGCUGAGCGACUAAAUUCUUCCAAUUGGGACACCGAAUUUAUGCGAAUAAAUUUUUAAGAGGGAUGAUUAAGUGCGUACAUGCGAGUUGAUGACAGAUACAAGCUGCUUGUAUUCUAGCCAGCAAUAAAACUGGCCCAGAGAAAAUAAAAGUAAACCUCUGGUUGAUUAGUUACUUUAUCGGUCUAUUUAUAGGCUAUUGCAAUUAUUGGCAUCAACUGUAACCAUUUAAUUUUUCCACGUCGAUUUAUGAUAUUGUUUUUUUUAUUUAUCAUUUUAUUAUUUGUAGCUGAUGGAUGUUCGCUGAGG
Molecule: long non-coding RNA, 1300 nt
Organism: Microplitis mediator
Lineage: Eukaryota; Metazoa; Arthropoda; Insecta; Hymenoptera; Braconidae
Exons: 3
Source: RefSeq, a predicted model, not a curated record